GAUGAACGCUGGCGGCGUGCUUAACACAUGCAAGUCGAACGAAGCACUUUACCGGAUUUCUUCGGAAUGAAAGUUUUGUGACUGAGUGGCGGACGGGUGAGUAACGCGUGGGUAACCUGCCUCAUACAGGGGGAUAACAGUUAGAAAUGACUGCUAAUACCGCAUAAGACCACAGGACCGCAUGGUCCGGUGGUAAAAACUCCGGUGGUAUGAGAUGGACCCGCGUCUGAUUAGCUAGUUGGUAAGGUAACGGCUUACCAAGGCGACGAUCAGUAGCCGACCUGAGAGGGUGACCGGCCACAUUGGGACUGAGACACGGCCCAAACUCCUACGGGAGGCAGCAGUGGGGAAUAUUGCACAAUGGGGGAAACCCUGAUGCAGCGACGCCGCGUGAGCGAUGAAGUAUUUCGGUAUGUAAAGCUCUAUCAGCAGGGAAGAAUUAGGACGGUACCUGACUAAGAAGCACCGGCUAAAUACGUGCCAGCAGCCGCGGUAAUACGUAUGGUGCAAGCGUUAUCCGGAUUUACUGGGUGUAAAGGGAGCGUAGACGGAGAGGCAAGUCUGAUGUGAAAACCCGGGGCUCAACCCCGGGACUGCAUUGGAAACUGUUUUUCUAGAGUGUCGGAGAGGUAAGUGGAAUUCCUAGUGUAGCGGUGAAAUGCGUAGAUAUUAGGAGGAACACCAGUGGCGAAGGCGGCUUACUGGACGAUGACUGACGUUGAGGCUCGAAAGCGUGGGGAGCAAACAGGAUUAGAUACCCUGGUAGUCCACGCCGUAAACGAUGACUGCUAGGUGUCGGGAGGCAAAGCCUUUCGGUGCCGCAGCAAACGCAAUAAGCAGUCCACCUGGGGAGUACGUUCGCAAAAAUGAAACUCAAAGGAAUUGACGGGGACCCGCACAAGCGGUGGAGCAUGUGGUUUAAUUCGAGGCAACGCGAAGAACCUUACCUGCCCUUGACAUCCGGCUGACCGGCGAGUAAUGUCGCCUUUCCUUCGGGACAGUCGAGACAGGUGGUGCAUGGUUGUCGUCAGCUCGUGUCGUGAGAUGUUGGGUUAAGUCCCGCAACGAGCGCAACCCUUAUCUUUAGUAGCCAGCAUUACGGAUGGGCACUCUAGAGAGACUGCCAGGGAUAACCUGGAGGAAGGUGGGGAGGACGUCAAAUCAUCAUGCCCCCUAUGGGCAGGGCUACACACGUGCUACAAUGGCGUAAACAAAGGGAGGCAGACCUGCGAGGGUGAGCAAAUCCCAAAAAUAACGUCUCAGUUCGGAUUGUAGUCUGCAACUCGACUACAUGAAGCUGGAAUCGCUAGUAAUCGCGAAUCAGAAUGUCGCGGUGAAUAAAAUCCCGGGUCUUGCACA
RNAcentral lists this ribosomal RNA (1359 nucleotides) under uncultured bacterium. Its description in RNAcentral is "bacterial SSU rRNA". It matches the Rfam family "Bacterial small subunit ribosomal RNA", at positions 28 to 1387 of the family's 1533-position model. The record is from RNAcentral.